UUUCAAGCACACAAACAAAUUCAUUAAAUAAUAUAUUCAUUGAUUUAUAUUGAAAAUAUCAUUCAAAUUAAAAUAUCAUAUUAUAACAUCACUUAAAUUAGGCACUUAAGUCUAGGAUACUAUUGUGUAAAUGGGAUAAUAACGUUGGUACAUUUGUUUGCACAUUUUCUUAGUAUAUUCCAGUUCUGUUUAUAUUGUACGCAUUUUUAUAGCUUUACUCACAAGCUAGCUGUGUACACUAUGUACAAGUAUGGGUUAUGGUUAGUAAUAUGAUUUGCAGCAAUGUUUGUCCUUGCGAUGCUGUUCUCGAUGCCGUUUUUCAACGGGAAGCAAGUGUACCAGCAUUAUCAAGUUUAGCAUCGUGGCAGAUAAAGCUGCGAAUUACAUAAUGUGUAAAGAAACGCAACAAACUAUUAAAGAUAUUACCUUCAAUUUGCGUCCAAGAAUUUGAUACUUCUGAAGUUAGAGCGGGCAGCCUUGAGGAUGGACCAUACAUAACUUGACUACUGUUCUCUGGAUCUUAAUUACAGACAUAUUAUUAUUUUAGGAAGAG
Bombus huntii is the source of this 553-nucleotide long non-coding RNA. RefSeq lists it as uncharacterized. The record is from RefSeq and is a predicted model, not a curated record. Lineage: Eukaryota; Metazoa; Arthropoda; Insecta; Hymenoptera; Apidae. The transcript is spliced from 2 exons.